RNAcentral lists this ribosomal RNA (1235 nucleotides) under metagenome. RNAcentral's name for it is "bacterial LSU rRNA". It matches the Rfam family "Bacterial large subunit ribosomal RNA", at positions 1564 to 2808 of the family's 2925-position model. The record is from RNAcentral.
UGAAUACGAGACGCUAAGGCGUCGAAGUAGUGUAUGUCAUACUUCCAAGAAAAGCUUGCACUGUCAUAGAUAAAAAACGCCUGUACCAUAACCGACACAGGUGGGUAGGUAGAGUAUACUAAGGGGCGCGAGAUAACUCUCUCUAAGGAACUCGGCAAAAUAACUCCGUAACUUCGGGAGAAGGAGUGCCUUAUUUUUAAGGCUGCAAUAACAAGAUCCAAGCAACUGUUUAUCAAAAACACAGGUCUCCGCUAAGUCGUAAGACGAUGUAUGGGGGCUGACGCCUGCCCAGUGCCAGAAGGUUAAAGAAGUUGGUUAGCUUUUGCGAAGCUGAUAACUGAAGCCCUGGUGAACGGCGGCCGUAACUAUAACGGUCCUAAGGUAGCGAAAUUCCUUGUCGGGUUAGUUCCGACCCGCACGAAAGGCGUAAUGAUUUGGAUACUGUCUCGGAGAGGGGCUCGGUGAAAUAGACUUGUCUGUGAAGAUGCGGACUACCUGCACCAGGACAGAAAGACCCUAUGAAGCUUUACUGUAACUUGAAAUUGAAAUUGGACUUUAUUCGCGCAGCAUAGGUGGGAGGCGUUGAUUAUAAUCUCGUGGGAUUAUUGGAGCCAUCAGUGAGAUACCACUCUUGUAAUGUUAGAUUUCUAACUUUGAAUCAUUAUCUGGUCAAAGAACAGUUUCAGGCGGGCAGUUUGACUGGGGCGGUCGCCUCCUAAACGGUAACGGAGGCGUACAAAGGUUUCCUCUGAACGGUUAGAAAUCGUAUCUAGAGUGUAAAGGCAUAAGGAAGCUUGACUGUGAGACCUACAAGUCGAGCAGGGACGAAAGUCGGUCUUAGUGAUCUGACGGUACUGAGUGGAAAGGCCGUCACUCAACGGAUAAAAGUUACUCUAAGGAUAACAGGCUGAUCUCCCCCAAGAGUUCACAUCGACGGGGAGGUUUGGCACCUCGAUGUCGGCUCAUCGCAUCCUGGGGCGGUAGUACGUCCCAAGGGUUGGGCUGUUCGCCCAUGAAAGCGGUACGCGAGCUGGGUUCAGAACGUCGUGAGACAGUUCGGUCCAUAUCCGGUGUAGGCGUUAGAAUAUUGAGAGGAGCCUUCUUUAGUACGAGAGGACCGAGAAGGACAUACCUCUGGUGUACCAGUUAUCGUGCCAACGGUAAACGCUGGGUAGCUAUGUAUGGAGUGGAUAACCGCUGAAAGCAUCUAAGUGGGAAGCCCACCUCAAGAUAAG